GUGGGGGAUAUUGCACAAUGGAGGAAACUCUGAUGCAGCGACGCCGCGUGAGUGAAGAAGUAUUUCGGUAUGUAAAGCUCUAUCAGCAGGGAAGAUAAUGACAGUACCUGACUAAGAAGCCCCGGCUAACUACGUGCCAGCAGCCGCGGUAAUACGUAGGGGGCAAGCGUUAUCCGGAUUUACUGGGUGUAAAGGGAGCGUAGACGGAAUGGCAAGUCUGAAGUGAAAUCCUGCGGCUUAACUGCAGAAUUGCUUUGGAAACUGUCAAUCUGGAGUGUUGGAGAGGUAAGCGGAAUUCCUGGUGUAGCGGUGAAAUGCGUAGAUAUCAGGAAGAACACCGGAGGCGAAGGCGGCUUCCUGGACAAUAACUGACGUUGAGGCUCGAAAGCGUGGGAAGCAAACAGGAUUAGAUACCCCUGUAGUCC
This 425-nucleotide ribosomal RNA is filed under the name uncultured bacterium. Its description in RNAcentral is "partial 16S ribosomal RNA". It matches the Rfam family "Bacterial small subunit ribosomal RNA", at positions 354 to 796 of the family's 1533-position model. The record is from RNAcentral.